Molecule: long non-coding RNA, 1888 nt
Organism: Anolis carolinensis (green anole)
Lineage: Eukaryota; Metazoa; Chordata; Lepidosauria; Squamata; Anolidae
Exons: 2
Source: RefSeq, a predicted model, not a curated record
AUAUAUAUAUAUAUAUAUAUAUACACACACAUACAUAUGGACACACAAACUAAUAUAUAUAUAUAUAUAUAGACACACAAACUUAUAUAUAUAGACACACAAACUUUUAUAUAUAUAUAUAUAUAUAUAUAUAUAUAUAGAUAUAGAUAUAGAUAUAGAUAUAUACAUACAUAUGGACACACAAACUAAUAUAUAUAUAUAUAUAUAUAUAUAUAUAUAGACACACAAACUUAUAUAUAUAGACACACAAACUUUUAUAUAUAUAGAUAUAGAUAUAUACAUACAUAUGGACACACAAACUUAUAUAUAUAUAUAUAUAUAUAUAUAUAUAUAUAUAUAUAUAUAUAGACACACAAACUUAUAUAUAUAGACACACAAACUUAUAUAUAUAUAUAUAUAUAUCAUACACACACACAUAUAUAUACAUACACACACACACACAUACAUACAUACACAUAUACAUACAAAGAUGCUGUAAGAGCUGUUCAACAAUGGAACUCUCUGCAUCAAAGUAUUGUCAAAGCUCCUUCUUUAGAAACUCUGAAGCAGAUGCUGCAUGGCCAUCUGUCGGGAGGGUUUUGAUGGUGCCUUUAUGGCAAAAUAGGGUUGGACUGGAUGCCUUUUAGGGGUCCCUUCCAAUGCUAGGAUCCUAUGAUUCAAUGAGGCUGGAUGGCCAUCUGUCAGGAGGGCUUUGAUGGUGCUUUUCCAGCAUGGGACGGGAUGGCCUUUGGUGGUUCCUUCCAAUGCUAAGAUUCUAUUAUUCAAUAAGGGCCAUCUGUCGGGAGGGCUUUAAUUGUGUCUUUAUGGCAAAAUGGGGUUGGACUGGAUGCCCUUUUAGGGAUCCCUUCUAACUAUGGGAUUCUAUGAUUCAAUGAGGCUGGAUGGAUAUCUGUCAGGAGGGCUUUGAUGGUGCUUUUAUGGCAAAAUGGGAUUGGAUUGGAUGUCCUUUAGGGUUCCCUUCCCACAAUAGGAUUCUAUGAUUCAUUGAGGCUGGGUGGCCAUCUAUGGGGAGGGUUUUGAUGGUGCCUUUAUGGCAAAAUGGGGUUGGACUGGAUGGCCUUUAGAGGUCCCUUCCCACAAUAAGAUUCUACUGGCAACUCGGAUAGAUGCACACAAUCCACACUUGAGUCUCUCUCUGUGUCUGCAUUCGGGUCCAUCUACACUGUCGAGUUAACCCAGUUUGGCACCUCUUGGGCAGCUAUGGCUCCCUGCGACAGAGCGUCAAGACUCUUUAGCAGAGAAAAGUAAGACUACAAUUUCAAUGAUUCCAUAGCAUUGAGCCGUAAGGAUCCAAGUGGUAUCAAACUGCAUCAGUUCGACAGUGUAGACGCAGCCUUUUCCCCCUCCAGCCGGCCUGGUGUGAGUGAGCACAACACGCAAAAGCAGGAAUAGCUGGGCUAUUCUGCUAGAGAUGGACAUUUCUUCUUCUCUAUUUGGAAAUUACGGUCCAAAAAUGGGCCGAGGAGUUUGUCUCGCUUUUUGCAUUUUCUUCGUGCGACCGAAGAAUGGUAUAAUAAUUCAUGUCUGCUUGGUGGGAAAGAGAUGAUAAUAAAAUGGUCAAAGGUUUUCUUCCGAUUCUUGAUUUCGGGGAGAAGGGUCGGUAGGAAAGAGAGUGAAGGAAGAGAAGAAAGGGAGAAAGAUGGCAAAGAGAUGGAAAGAAGAGAAGGAAAAGAAGACAAAGGUAGGAAAAAGAAGGAAUGUAGGAAAGAGGGAAAGAAGAGAAGAAAAAGGAAGAAUGAACGGGAGGUAGGAAAGAGAGUGAAGGAAGAGAAGAAAGGGAGAAAAAGGUAUGUAGGAAAGAGAAGGAAGCAAAAGGAGAAAAAAUAUAGGUAGGAAAAAGAGAAGAGAAGAAAAGGAAGAAUAAAAGGUAGGUAGGAAAGAGAGAGAA